AAUAUUUAAGCAGUCUGCCUUCAUAGGCAUCGGCAAUAUUUAAGUUUUUGCAGGACGCGUGAUCUGUAUUAUUUUACAGAUGACAGUUCUU
Molecule: small nucleolar RNA, 91 nt
Filed under: Bombyx mori (domestic silkworm)
Lineage: Eukaryota; Metazoa; Arthropoda; Insecta; Lepidoptera; Bombycidae
Description: H/ACA box snoRNA
Source: RNAcentral